Molecule: ribosomal RNA, 754 nt
Filed under: uncultured bacterium
Lineage: Bacteria
Description: bacterial SSU rRNA
Rfam family: Bacterial small subunit ribosomal RNA
Source: RNAcentral
GUUUGAUCCUGGCUCAGAGCGAACGCUGGCGGCAGGCCUAACACAUGCAGGUCGAACGAACUCUUCGGAGUUAGUGGCGGACGGGUGAGUAACACGUGGGAACGUGCCUUUAGGUUCGGAAUAACUCAGGGAAACUUGUGCUAAUACCGAAUGUGCCCUUCGGGGGAAAGAUUUAUCGCCUUUAGAGCGGCCCGCGUCUGAUUAGCUUGUUGGUGGGGUAAUGGCCCACCAAGGCUACGAUCAGUAGCUGGUCUGAGAGGAUGACCAGCCACAUUGGGACUGAGACACGGCCCAAACUCCUACGGGAGGCAGCAGUGGGGAAUCUUGCGCAAUGGGCGAAAGCCUGACGCAGCCAUGCCGCGUGUAUGAUGAAGGUCUUAGGAUUGUAAAAUACUUUCACCGGUGAAGAUAAUGACUGUAGCCGGAGAAGAAGCCCCGGCUAACUUCGUGCCAGCAGCCGCGGUAAUACGAAGGGGGCUAGCGUUGCUCGGAAUUACUGGGCGUAAAGGGAGCGUAGGCGGACAUUUAAGUCAGAGGUGAAAUCCCGGAGCUUAACUUCGGAACUGCCUUUGAUACUGGAUGUCUUGAGUGUGAGAGAGGUAUGUGGAACUCCGAGUGUAGAGGUGAAAUUCGUAGAUAUUCGGAAGAACACCAGUGGCGAAGGCGACAUACUGGCUCAUUACUGACGCUGAGGCUCGAAAGCGUGGGGAGCAAACAGGAUUAGAUACCCUGGUAGUCCACGCCGUAAACGAUG